Molecule: ribosomal RNA, 395 nt
Filed under: uncultured bacterium
Lineage: Bacteria
Description: bacterial SSU rRNA
Rfam family: Bacterial small subunit ribosomal RNA
Source: RNAcentral
GUGCCAGCCGCCGCGGUAAUACGUAGGGGGCGAGCGUUGUCCGAAUUUACUGGGCGUAAAGCGCGCGUAGGCGGACCUUUAAGUUGGGGGUGAAAUCUCAAGGCUUAACCUUGAAACUGCCUCCAAAACUGGGGGUCUUGAGGUAUGGAGAGGGAAGUGGAAUUCCUGGUGUAGCGGUGAAAUGCGUAGAUAUCAGGAGGAACACCCGUGGCGAAGGCGGCUUCCUGGCCAUAUCCUGACGCUGAGGUGCGAAAGCUAGGGGAGCGAACGGGAUUAGAUACCCCGGUAGUCCUAGCCGUAAACGAUGGAUACUAGGUGUUAGUGGUAUCGACCCCACUAGUGCCGCAGCUAACGCAAUAAGUAUCCCGCCUGGGGAGUACGGCCGCAAGGUUGAA